AACGCGAUCUGCCAAACCCUGUCGCCUCUCUUCAUCUUCCCUUUAGCCUCGAUGUAGCUAAGCUCAUACCACAACGAAGACGAAGAUGUGUUACCAAACCUAUGUAACGUCAUUCUCGAGGCUUCCACGUGCUCUGCCGAUAGCUGUAGGUUCUUCUGCAGCUCGUCGAUUACUGCUCUACCUCCAGCGUGGAUGCAGAAAUGUUCGAAAGCCAUCUUACACGUGCUCUGCCGAUAGCUGUAGGUUCUUCUGCAGCUCGUCGAUUACUGCUCUACCUCCAGCGUCGACGCAGAAAUGUUCGAAAGCCAUCUUGAAAUCUGGUAUGUACGGCUUCCACUUUGCAUUAAAGAUUUUACGUCCGAUGAGAGACGUGAGGAAGAGCAGCUGUUCGGAUGCCGGUAGGACCAAAGGACCUAUUCAUCCAGUACUUGUGUUAAUUCAAGAAGAAGAAAAACAUGAUCAUAGUGAUAUAAAGUCAUUAACUCUUAGACAAAUUAUUAUACAACAAUUUAAAAUUUACGAUAUAAACUAAGCCGCAACUGUGUUUUUGGUCCUGAUGAGUGACCACUGUGUUUGUGUCAGAGUCUAGCAGGUGUAUAUAUAUAUUUCAUAUGAACUCUUAAACAUUUUAAAGCAGAAUUUGUUCCAUUUAUAUUUGCGUUUUGCACAAAUAUUUUUUCUUGAAAAACUGAAAAUAUUUAUUCCUAAAGAGGUGAAUUAAAUGCACUAAGUGUUGGCCCAAUCCAACUCUUAUAGUUAUGAUACUCCAUCGGUUUAUAAUGUAUGAUGUUAUGGGUAAUACAAAAAAAGUUAAAUGUUUUUUUGUUCAAAAGCAUUUUUAAAAUAAAAAAAAAUUAUUUAACUAUUUUAUAAAAAUGAUUGUAAAAUAUAAAGUUAAAAUUAAGAUGUUAAAAUAUUUUACAUUUUAAAAUAAUAGAAAUCUUCUAAAAGUAUCCUGAAACUAUUAUAUCGUUAGGAAUGAAAAGAAAAUCAUGUAAACAAAGCAUAUUGUAAUAAGGAUUUUGAGUUACCUAUGGUGGUGAUGUUAGACUUCAAGGCUUCUCCAGCGAUGGCCAUGAGAUCUUUAUUCAAGUUGAUUCCGACGUGACUUUCAUCGUCUUCCUGCUGGUAAACGCAAUAGUACGACUUGUCUUCCGCACCCCGGUGGGUC
Molecule: long non-coding RNA, 1171 nt
Filed under: Brassica napus (rape)
Lineage: Eukaryota; Viridiplantae; Streptophyta; Magnoliopsida; Brassicales; Brassicaceae
Description: long non-coding RNA (BNAP_LNC008055)
Source: RNAcentral